Molecule: ribosomal RNA, 638 nt
Filed under: uncultured bacterium
Lineage: Bacteria
Description: bacterial SSU rRNA
Rfam family: Bacterial small subunit ribosomal RNA
Source: RNAcentral
GGGAUAACGCUGGCGGCAUGCUCACACGAUUGCAAGUUGAACGAGCUUAUUCUUAAGCUUAGUAGCGGACGGGCGAGUACGCGUAAGAACCUACCUUUAGAGAGGAAUAACUAUUGGAAACGAUAGCUAAUACCUCAUAAACUGUGGAGUAAAAGGUGAAAGCCGCCUAAAGAUGGGCUUGCGUCUGAUUAGCUUGUUGGUAAUUUAAAAGGUACCAAGGCAACGAUCAGUAGUUGGUCUAAGAGGAUGAUCAACCACACUGGGACUGAGACACGGCCAGACCUCUACGGAGGGCAGCAGUGAGGAAUUUUCCGCAACGGGCGAAAGCCUGACGGAGCAAGCCGCGUGGAGGAUGCAGGCUUGUGAGUCGUAAACUCCUUUUCUUAGCGAAGAAACAAGACGGUACACUAAGGAAUAAGCAUCGGACUAACUCCGUGACCAGCAGGCCGCGGUAAUACGGAGGAUGCAAGCGUUAUUCGGAAUUAUUGGGCGUAAAAGCGUCUGUACGUUGCUUUAUUAAGUCUACUGUUUACAGUGUUAAGGCUUAACCUUUAAACAGAGCGGUAUGAAACUAAAACGCUUGAGUUAGAUAGAAGGUAGAGGGAAUUCUCAGAGUGUUAGUGGUGAAAUGCGUAAGC